This is a non-coding RNA of Pelobates cultripes (western spadefoot toad), 87 nucleotides long. NCBI's taxonomy places the organism in Eukaryota, Metazoa, Chordata, Amphibia, Anura, Pelobatidae. The record is from the annotation of a GenBank genome assembly.
GUGUGUGUGUGUGUAUGUAUCUAUCUAUCUAUCUAUCUAUAUAUGUAUAUAUAUAGAUAGAUAGAUAGAUAGAUACAUACACUGCUG